UACGAAGGGGGCUAGCGUUGCUCGGAAUCACUGGGCGUAAAGGGCGCGUAGGCGGCCAUUCAAGUCAGAGGUGAAAGCCCAAGGCUCAACCUUGGAAUUGCCUUUGAUACUGUUUGGCUUGAGACCGGAAGAGGUAAGUGGAACUGCGAGUGUAGAGGUGAAAUUCGUAGAUAUUCGCAAGAACACCAGUGGCGAAGGCGGCUAACUGGUCCGGUUCUGACGCUGAGGCGCGAAAGCGUGGGGAGCAAAC
Molecule: ribosomal RNA, 250 nt
Filed under: uncultured prokaryote
Description: partial 16S ribosomal RNA
Rfam family: Bacterial small subunit ribosomal RNA
Source: RNAcentral